GACGAACGCUGGCGGCGUGCUUAACACAUGCAAGUCGAGCGGUAAGGCCCUUUCGGGGGGUACACGAGCGGCGAACGGGUGAGUAACACGUGGGUGACCUGCCCUUAGCUCUGGGAUAAGCCUGGGAAACUGGGUCUAAUACCGGAUAUGACUCCAUGACGCAUGUUGUGGGGUGGAAAGCCUUGUGCGGCUAGGGAUGGGCCCGCGGCCUAUCAGCUUGUUGGUGGGGUGAUGGCCACCAAGGCGACGACGGGUAGCCGGCCUGAGAGGGCGACCGGCCACACUGGGACUGAGACACGGCCCAGACUCCUACGGGAGGCAGCAGUGGGGAAUCUUGCGCAAUGGGCGAAAGCCUGACGCA
RNAcentral lists this ribosomal RNA (361 nucleotides) under uncultured bacterium. Its description in RNAcentral is "bacterial SSU rRNA". It matches the Rfam family "Bacterial small subunit ribosomal RNA", at positions 28 to 390 of the family's 1533-position model. The record is from RNAcentral.